This 331-nucleotide unclassified non-coding RNA is filed under the name soil metagenome. RNAcentral's name for it is "partial contains 5.8S ribosomal RNA, internal transcribed spacer 2, and large subunit ribosomal RNA". The stretch from base 1 to 120 matches the Rfam family "5.8S ribosomal RNA", at positions 35 to 154 of the family's 154-position model. The record is from RNAcentral.
GAUGAAGAACGUAGCGAAAUGCGAUAAGUAAUGAGAAUUGCAGAAUUCAGUGAAUCAUCGAAUCUUUGAACGCACAUUGCGCCCCCUGGUAUUCCGGGGGGCAUGCCUGUUCGAGCGUCAUUUCACCACUCAAGCCUCGCUUGGUAUUGGGCAACGCGGUCCGCCGCGUGCCUCAAAUCGACCGGCUGGGUCUUCUGUCCCCUAAGCGUUGUGGAAACUAUUCGCUAAAGGGUGUUCGGGAGGCUACGCCGUAAAACAACCCCAUUUCUAAGGUUGACCUCGGAUCAGGUAGGGAUACCCGCUGAACUUAAGCAUAUCAAUAAGCGGAGGA